CCGCAAUUCCCGUCACGGAGUGCGUCCUCUAGCGCGGGGCGGAAGACCCGCGAAGUGUUCAAGCGGCCGCAGAGCGGCCCAGAGUUCGCAGGUCUGGGGCUCUCUUCCCAGAGAGCUCGUAGGGGAGGACAGUCAAGGGACUCAAGCGUCUCUCUUGACUCCCCUUCUCUCGCUGUGCAGUGGCGGCGCCGAGGGGUCGACGCUCAGGGCUAAUCUCUAUGAGUCACCCUCGAGGCCCCGGGUAAUAUUGGGUGGAUCACAAGAACUAAUCUUUCAUGAUUUGGAAACCGGAAGGAAAGAAGCACUUUUGUAGCUGACUUACCUCAAUGACAUGACCAGUGUCUGAGCCUACAACUGCGCUAUCUUCCCUGGAUUUUUCUUCACCUUUUCCUUACUCAUGAGCCAGGUAUCCCGGAAGCCUGAAGGGAAAGGUUCAAGUCCAGGCUUCCAUUAAAACCCCACUAAUAGACUUGUUCUGCCAUCAAUCAGCCACAGACCUGUACUGCAAGAUGCCUACUACACACCCAGUGCUGAGCUGUGGAAAAUCCAGAACACACGUGACCACAGACAAUCAUGAAGGCGCUGAUAAUAGCAGCUUCUCAAAGGGAAAAUUGUGUCCGGGACCCGCUGGAUGGAGCUAAGAUUGGAACUGAGGUCUGGCUAUAAAGCUGCCUUUAUGUCCAUCGCAUCCUAAGGGCUGCUGUUGCUCUUCUGCCUCUACACUGAUGGACUACGUCAGAACAUCAAUAUGCUGUAUUGAUGAUAAUGGAUGAUAUUUUCUUAGUUGUGCCAAUAUUAC
RNAcentral lists this long non-coding RNA (799 nucleotides) under Homo sapiens (human). RNAcentral describes it as "HSALNT0053268". Lineage: Eukaryota; Metazoa; Chordata; Mammalia; Primates; Hominidae. The record is from RNAcentral.